AUUCCUAGCUCUCAUAAUAGUUUCGGCUGUUGAAGAACCAACAUCUUUUGGAAAAACCACAAACUUAUUUUUGACAACCUACUUCCGUGAACAGGCUAUACACAAAGAUGUGUAAUCCUUGCUUGCGUUCAAUGCCUGGCACCUGUUGCGGACCGACAGGUGGAUUGGGGCCAUGCGGGUUCUGCGGUCCCUACAACGGGCAGUGGUUCAGGGCGGUCAACCACUGUUGCGGUCCGAUUGGACCAUACGGAUGUUGCUCCUGCUAUGGACCCUUCGCUGGCCACUGUUAGCCUGAUUAGAAGGGAAGUAGGUUUCAAAAACCGGUCGGGUCGGAGGUCGUCUAUUAGUACCAUGCUGAGUUACAUCUAGUAGUAUCAUGCUGAGGCUUGCACUCAGCGACCCGGGAUUCCCAAGUCGGUAACGGAUUAAGUAUUGCAAAAACAAAAUGUUUGUCUUAAUAAAUUGUCAGUUAUAAAGGGAAAUUCGCUUUUGCGAUUUCUUCAGCAAACUUUGAUGUUGCAUUUUGUAAAACAAAAAUAAAAGAAUGAGGAAUGCUGGACCGGCCUUAGAGUCAA
Drosophila hydei is the source of this 575-nucleotide long non-coding RNA. RefSeq lists it as uncharacterized. The transcript is spliced from 2 exons. Lineage: Eukaryota; Metazoa; Arthropoda; Insecta; Diptera; Drosophilidae. The record is from RefSeq and is a predicted model, not a curated record.